AAUAUUGCGCAAUGAGCGAAAGCUUGACGCAGCGACACCGCGUGUGGGAUGACGGAUCUAGGUUUGUAAACCACUUUCAGGAGGGAAGAAAAUGACGGUACCUCCACAAGAAGCCCCGGCCAACUACGUGCCAGCAGCCGCGGUAAUACGUAGGGGGCGAGCGUUGUCCGGAUUUAUUGGGCGUAAAGAGCUCGUAGGCGGUUCAACAAGUCGGUCGUGAAAGUUCAGGGCUCAACCCUGAAAUGUCGAUCGAUACUGUUGUGACUAGGAUACGGUAGAGGUGAGUGGAAUUCCGAGUGUAGCGGUGAAAUGCGUAGAUAUUCGGAGGAACACCAAUUGCGAAGGCAGCUCACUGGGCCGCUAUCGACGCUGAGGAGCGAAAGCUAGGGGAGCAAACAGGAUUAGAUACCCUGGUAGUCCUAGCUGUAAACGAUGGAUACUAGACGUAGGAAUUGGAUUAACGAUUUCUGUGUCGUAGCUAACGCGUUAAGUAUCCCGCCUGGGGAGUACGGUCGCAAGACUAAAACUCAAAGGAAUUGACGGAAUCUC
RNAcentral lists this ribosomal RNA (549 nucleotides) under uncultured bacterium. Its description in RNAcentral is "bacterial SSU rRNA". It matches the Rfam family "Bacterial small subunit ribosomal RNA", at positions 360 to 922 of the family's 1533-position model. The record is from RNAcentral.